UACGAGGGGGGCAAGCGUUGUUCGGAAUUAUUGGGCGUAAAGGGCGCGUAGGCGGCUCAUGAAGGCUGUGGUGAAAGUCCGGGGCUCAACCUCGGAUCGGCCGUGGCGACUCGUGGGCUGGAGCACUGUAGAGGCGGGUGGAAUUCCGGGUGUAGCGGUGGAAUGCGUAGAGAUCCGGAGGAACACCAGUGGCGAAGGCGGCCCGCUGGGCAGUGGCUGACGCUGAGGCGCGACAGCGUGGGGAGCAAACAGG
RNAcentral lists this ribosomal RNA (253 nucleotides) under uncultured bacterium. Its description in RNAcentral is "partial 16S ribosomal RNA". It matches the Rfam family "Bacterial small subunit ribosomal RNA", at positions 524 to 776 of the family's 1533-position model. The record is from RNAcentral.